UAAAAUGAUUGGAGGAAUGUAGCUUCGAUCUCGUAUUGAAGUGUUAUAGCCUUUGGUAGAUGUGACGAUCGGGAUUGAGGAUUGCAACGGAUACCCUUCGGGGCUACCUGUCUGAUCUCUGAUUGUUGCUCUGGUGCUGAAAGCUUGCUUAUGGUUAUCAAAGUCGAUGGUCAAUAGGUUAGAAUGGGGUUAAAUUCGUUAAGGGAUGUUGACGUA
Molecule: ribosomal RNA, 216 nt
Filed under: uncultured Glomeromycotina
Lineage: Eukaryota; Fungi; Glomeromycota
Description: partial 25S ribosomal RNA
Source: RNAcentral